GAUGAACGCUGGCGGCGUGCCUAAUACAUGCAAGUCGAACGAAAAGACCAGGCUCUUGCUCCUCUGACGUUAGCGGAGGACGGGUGAGUCACACGUGGAUCACCUACCUAUCAUACUGAGAUCACUUCGGGAAACCGGCGCUUAUCCCGUAUAAUAUCUUGCACCACAUGGUUCAAUAGUGAAAGACGGCUUUGCUGUAACUUAUCGAUGCAUCCGCGCUGCAUUAGCUAGUUGGUACGGUAAAGGCUUUCCAAGGCGACGAUGCGUAGCCGACGGGUGAGGGGGGUCGCCCACACGGGAGCGGGAACGCGGUCCAGACUCCUGCGAGAGGGAGCAGUAGGGAAUCUGCCGCAGUGGGCGAAAGCAUUGCGGAGCAACGCGACGUGAGUUAUGAAGGUCUUCGGAUCGUAAAACUCUGUUAUGAGGGAUGAACAAAUGUGUAAGUAACUAUGCACGUCGUGACGGUACCUAAUCAGAAAGCCACGGCUAACUACGUG
This 497-nucleotide ribosomal RNA is filed under the name uncultured bacterium. Its description in RNAcentral is "partial 16S ribosomal RNA". It matches the Rfam family "Bacterial small subunit ribosomal RNA", at positions 28 to 507 of the family's 1533-position model. The record is from RNAcentral.